RNAcentral lists this ribosomal RNA (433 nucleotides) under uncultured bacterium. RNAcentral's name for it is "bacterial SSU rRNA". It matches the Rfam family "Bacterial small subunit ribosomal RNA", at positions 774 to 1210 of the family's 1533-position model. The record is from RNAcentral.
AGAGAAUAGAUACCCGGGUAGUCCACGCCGUAAACGAUGUCGACUAGGUGUCGGGGGUAUCGACCCCCCGGCGCCGGAGCUAAACGCAUUAAAGUCGACCGCCUGGGGACGUACGGCCGCAAGGCUAAAACUACAAAGGAAUUGACGGGGGCCCGGCACAAGCAGCGGAGCGUGUGGUUCAAUUCGAUGCAACGCGCAGAACCUUACCUGGGCUUGACAUGCACGUGGUACCGGACCGAAAGGCGAGGGACCCGCGAGGGAGCGUGCACAGAUGCUGCAUGGCUGUCGUCAGCUCGUGCCGUGAGGUGUUGGGUUAAAGUCCCCGCAACGAGCGCAAACCCCCGCCGUCAGUUGCCAUCUCUGGGCGGGACCGGCCGGUACAAACCGGGAGGAAGGUGGGGAUGACGUCAAGUCAGCACGGCUCUUACGUCCA